GAUAAACGCUGGCGGCGCACAUAAGACAUGCAAGUCGAACGGACUUAAUCGAAAUAUUUAUAUUUGAAGCGGUUAGUGGCGGACUGGUGAGUAACGCGUAAGGACCUGCCUAUUAGAGGGAAUAACAGGUGAGAAAUCAUUGCUAAUACCCGCAUAUGCCAUAGAUAUCACAUGAUAACAGUGGGAAAGGAGCAAUCCGCUAAUAGAUGGCCUUGCGUCUGAUUAGAUAGUUGGUGGGGUAACGGCCUACCAAGUCGACGAUCAGUAGCCGGACUGAGAGGUUGAACGGCCACAUUGGGACUGAGAUACGGCCCAGACUCCUACGGGAGGCAGCAGUCGGGAAUAUUGCGCAAUGGAGGAAACUCUGACGCAGUGACGCCGCGUAUA
RNAcentral lists this ribosomal RNA (387 nucleotides) under uncultured bacterium. Its description in RNAcentral is "bacterial SSU rRNA". It matches the Rfam family "Bacterial small subunit ribosomal RNA", at positions 28 to 405 of the family's 1533-position model. The record is from RNAcentral.